RNAcentral lists this ribosomal RNA (379 nucleotides) under uncultured bacterium. RNAcentral's name for it is "bacterial SSU rRNA". It matches the Rfam family "Bacterial small subunit ribosomal RNA", at positions 29 to 424 of the family's 1533-position model. The record is from RNAcentral.
AACGAACGCUGGCGGCAUGCCUAACACAUGCAAGUCGAACGAGACCCCAACUUCGGUUGGACGUCUAGUGGCGCACGGGUGCGUAACGCGUGGGAAUCUGCCCUUAGGUUCGGAAUAACUCGGAGAAAUCCGAGCUAAUACCGGAUAAUGACGUAAGUCCAAAGAUUUAUCGCCUAAGGAUGAGCCCGCGUAGGAUUAGCUUGUUGGUGAGGUAAAAGCUCACCAAGGCGACGAUCCUAGCUGGUCUGAGAGGAUGAUCAGCCACACUGGGACUGAGACACGGCCCAGACUCCUACGGGAGGGCAGCAGUGGGGAAUAUUGGACAAUGGGCGAAAGCCUGAUCCAGCAAUGCCGCGUGAGUGAUGAAGGCCUUAGGGUU